This 72-nucleotide transfer RNA is filed under the name Acanthemblemaria spinosa (spinyhead blenny). Its description in RNAcentral is "tRNA-Leu". RNAcentral also lists the same sequence under 1 other name. Lineage: Eukaryota; Metazoa; Chordata; Actinopteri; Blenniiformes; Chaenopsidae. The record is from RNAcentral.
GCCCCUAAAGGAUAAUAGUCCUCCGCUGGUCUUAGGAACCAGAGACUCUUGGUGCAACCCCAAGUAGCGGCU